This 478-nucleotide ribosomal RNA is filed under the name uncultured Planctomycetales bacterium. Its description in RNAcentral is "bacterial SSU rRNA". It matches the Rfam family "Bacterial small subunit ribosomal RNA", at positions 364 to 832 of the family's 1533-position model. The record is from RNAcentral. Lineage: Bacteria; Pseudomonadati; Planctomycetota; Planctomycetia; Planctomycetales.
UUUCGCAAUGCCCGAAAGGGUGACGAAGCGACGCCGCGUGUGGGAAGAAGGCCUUCGGGUUGUAAACCACUGUCGGGAGUUAAGAAAUACAAGGAUAUUAAUAGUGUCUUUGUUUGACUAAGGCUCCGGAGGAAGCCACGGCUAACUCUGUGCCAGCAGCCGCGGUAAUACAGAGGCGGCAAGCGUUGUUCGGAAUUAUUGGGCGUAAAGAGCACGUAGGCGGCUAUGUAAGUCGGUUGUGAAAGCCUUCCGCUCAACGGAAGAGCAGCAUCCGAUACUACAUGGCUUGAGUGCGGGAGGGGAGAGUGGAACUUCUGGUGGAGCGGUGAAAUGCGUAGAUAUCAGAAGGAACGCCGGCGGCGAAAGCGGCUCUCUGGCCCAUAACUGACGCUGAGUGUGCGAAAGCUAGGGGAGCAAACGGGAUUAGAUACCCCGGUAGUCCUAGCCGUAAACGAUGGGCACUAAGUAGAGGGGUUUU